Molecule: ribosomal RNA, 467 nt
Filed under: uncultured bacterium
Lineage: Bacteria
Description: partial 16S ribosomal RNA
Rfam family: Bacterial small subunit ribosomal RNA
Source: RNAcentral
ACGAACGCUGGCGGCGUGCUUAACACAUGCAAGUCGAACGGAAAGGCCCUGCUUUUGUGGGGUGCUCGAGUGGCGAACGGGUGAGUAACACGUGAGUAACCUGCCCUUGACUUUGGGAUAACUUCAGGAAACUGGGGCUAAUACCGGAUAGGAGCUCCUGCUGCAUGGUGGGGGUUGGAAAGUUUCGGCGGUUGGGGAUGGACUCGCGGCUUAUGAGCUUGUUGGUGGGGUAGUGGCUUACCAAGGCUUUGACGGGUAGCCGGCCUGAGAGGGUGACCGGCCACAUUGGGACUGAGAUACGGCCCAGACUCCUACGGGAGGCAGCAGUGGGGAAUAUUGCACAAUGGGCGGAAGCCUGAUGCAGCAACGCCGCGUGCGGGAUGACGGCCUUCGGGUUGUAAACCGCUUUCGCCUGUGACGAAGCGUGAGUGACGGUAAUGGGUAAAGAAGCACCGGCUAACUACGUG